UACCCGCGGCCCGAGUAGUGGUCGAUAUUAUUGAGCCUAAAACGUCCGUAGCCGGUCUUCUAAAUCCUUGGGUAAAUCGGGCAGCUUAACUGUCCGAAGUCCGGGGAGACUGGAAGACUUGGGACCGGGAGAGGUCAGAGGUACUUCUGGGGUAGGGGUAAAAUCCUGUAAUCCUGGAAGGACCACCGGUGGCGAAGGCGUCUGACUAGAACGGAUCCGACGGUGAGGGACAAAGCCCUGGGGCGCAAACGGG
This 253-nucleotide ribosomal RNA is filed under the name uncultured Methanomassiliicoccales archaeon. RNAcentral's name for it is "partial 16S ribosomal RNA". It matches the Rfam family "Archaeal small subunit ribosomal RNA", at positions 474 to 727 of the family's 1478-position model. The record is from RNAcentral. Lineage: Archaea; Methanobacteriati; Thermoplasmatota; Thermoplasmata; Methanomassiliicoccales.